RNAcentral lists this transfer RNA (75 nucleotides) under Terrestrivirus sp. RNAcentral describes it as "tRNA-Tyr". The record is from RNAcentral. Lineage: Varidnaviria; Bamfordvirae; Nucleocytoviricota; Megaviricetes; Imitervirales; Mimiviridae.
UAAUCUCGGGUGGGAUCGAACCACCGUCACGGGUAAUUUACAGUCCCGGAUAAUGACCUACUAUACUACAAGAUU